CCUACGGGAGGCAGCAGUAGGGAAUAUUGCUCAAUGGGGGAAACCCUGAAGCAGCAACGCCGCGUGGAGGAUGAAGGUUUUCGGAUUUUAAACUCCUUUUGUUAGAGAAGAUAAUGACGGUAUCUAACGAAUAAUCAGCGUCUAACUACGUGCCAGCAGCCGCGGUAAUACGGAGGGUGCAACCGUUACUCGGAAUCACUGGGCGUAAAGAGCUCGUAGGCGGGAUAGCAAGUCAGAUGUGAAAUCCUAUGGCCUAAACAUAGAACUGCAUUUGAAACUGUUAGUCUAGAGUAUGGGAGAGGUAGGUGGAAUGCGUGGUGUAGCGGUAAAAUCCGGAGAGAUCGAGAGGAAUACUGAUUGCGAAGGCGGCCUGCUGGAACAUAACUGACGCUGAGGCGCGAAAGCGUGGGGAGCAAACAGGAUUAGAUACCCCAGUAGUC
Molecule: ribosomal RNA, 440 nt
Filed under: uncultured bacterium
Lineage: Bacteria
Description: partial 16S ribosomal RNA
Rfam family: Bacterial small subunit ribosomal RNA
Source: RNAcentral